This 817-nucleotide unclassified non-coding RNA is filed under the name Hevea brasiliensis (rubber tree). The record is from RNAcentral. Lineage: Eukaryota; Viridiplantae; Streptophyta; Magnoliopsida; Malpighiales; Euphorbiaceae.
GGAACUUCAAAAUAUUUCCCAGUGCAAUCUGCAACAUAAUAACAAGGAGCCAUAACACUACGAAAUUGAAGGAUAUAAAGUAACAAUAAGAAAUUGAAGGAUAUAAAGAUAUUACAAAGAAAGUUCAAAACAAAUCCAAAAACUACCCUGCUUGAAUCUUCUAAUGAAGGAUAGGCAGCCUUGGUCUCAUAGUUAGUUCCGUACAAUUCUUUGAAAUUACUGAAGACAUGGGUAGGAUGUAAAAAUGCUCCACCACAACCAUUUACAAGUAAAUGUUGCACAUGAACAGGCCUAUCUGAUGGAACAUAUGAAUGACGCAUAUAAUGAUGCAAAUCCCCAGCUAUUUGAAGCUUGCACCUUCCUUUCAAAUAAUCACAUAUCAGGUGCGAGACAUUCUUUCCAGAAACACUAUUCCAGUACCAAUCGAGCAGCCAAUUUGGUUCAUGUGUCAUAAUGAUCACUGAGUCAUUAUCUCCAACCUUCUCCUUUAUUAGUUCUGAAAAGAAUUUGAACUGGUACACAUCAAUAUCAUUAUGGAGUGCUAGAUCAAGACCAAAAACCCACCAUCUUUUAGGGAGUUGCAACGCAAAAUAGCUCUUCUUCUGGGGCAUAAACCACCCGCCUAACCAGCUCUUGUGACAUAUGUAUCUCAUGAAAGUAUGAAGUCCAUCAAACCAAUCAUGGUUUCCAGGGAUGACAAAACACUGAGGUCCAUCAUACUGCUUCAGUUCAGACACCCCAACAGGCAGCUCAGGCUUGUUUACAGAUACAUGCUCUGGUUUAUACCACGACGGAGGCUGUAGAGCAUAUUCAAAAG